RNAcentral lists this ribosomal RNA (253 nucleotides) under uncultured bacterium. Its description in RNAcentral is "partial 16S ribosomal RNA". It matches the Rfam family "Bacterial small subunit ribosomal RNA", at positions 524 to 776 of the family's 1533-position model. The record is from RNAcentral.
UACCGGGGGUGCAAACGUUGCUCGGAAUUAUUGGGCGUAAAGAGCUCGUAGGCGGUUUGUUGCGUCGGCUGUGAAAUCCCGAGGCUCAACCUCGGGUCUGCAGUCGAUACGAGCAAACUAGAGUGUUGCAGGGGAGACUGGAAUUCCUGGUGUAGCGGUGAAAUGCGCAGAUAUCAGGAGGAACACCGGUGGCGAAGGCGGGUCUCUGGGCAACAACUGACGCUGAGGAGCGAAAGCGUGGGGAGCGAACAGG